Small nuclear RNA from Leptonychotes weddellii (Weddell seal), 107 nucleotides. The record is from RefSeq and is a predicted model, not a curated record. Lineage: Eukaryota; Metazoa; Chordata; Mammalia; Carnivora; Phocidae.
GUGCUCAUUUCAGCAGCAGAUGUACUAAAAUUGGAACAACCCAGAAAAGACUAGCAAGGUCCCUGCAUAAGGAUGACACAUAAAUUGAUGAAGCAUUCCAUAUUUUU